GGGGAAUUUUCCGCAAUGGGCGAAAGUCUGACGGAGCAACGCCGCGUGCAGGAUGACGGCCUUCGGGUUGUAAACUGCUUUUCUCAGGGACGAGCAAGGACGGUACCUGAGGAAGAAGCCCCGGCUAACUACGUGCCAGCAGCCGCGGUAAUACGUAGGGGGCGAGCGUUGUCCGGAUUUAUUGGGCGUAAAGCGUCCGCAGGCGGUGUGAGAAGUUCGAGGUGACAGUGCACGGCUUAACCGCGCAAGGUCCUUGAAAACUGCCACACUUGAGGGCUUCAGAGGGACCCGGAAUUCCGGGUGGAGUGGUGAAAUGCGUAGAGAUCCGGAGGAACACCAAAGGCGCAGGCAGGGUCCUGGGAAGCCACUGACGCUCAUGGACGAAAGCUAGGGGAGCGAAAGGGAUUAGAUACCCCUGUAGUC
This 423-nucleotide ribosomal RNA is filed under the name uncultured bacterium. RNAcentral's name for it is "bacterial SSU rRNA". It matches the Rfam family "Bacterial small subunit ribosomal RNA", at positions 356 to 795 of the family's 1533-position model. The record is from RNAcentral.